This is a non-coding RNA of Oryza glaberrima (African rice), 69 nucleotides long. The record is from Rfam. NCBI's taxonomy places the organism in Eukaryota, Viridiplantae, Streptophyta, Magnoliopsida, Poales, Poaceae.
UAUCAGUUUCCGUGGGAGUGAGAAGCAUGGGGAAAUUUAGCCCAACUCAUUGCUUCGGUAGGCUGGCGA